CUCUCGAAAGGUCUCGGACCCAUCUGCAGGCCUGGACCAUCCAGAUGGGAUGGCCCAGGAAACUGCCUCAGAUCGUCUUCAAUAUUAUUAUGUCUACCAGGAUAUGCUGGAAGUGGCUUGAGAUGUUCCCCUGAAGUGUUGAAACCCUCGUCAGGGAAAGCCCUUCCACUUACAAGUGAACCACUACCAGAGCCAUUGCUCCUCGAUGUUCCUGUGUGAAUGGAAGUUAGGUCAGCAUGCCCACAACAAAAAGGAUUGAAGUAUUUGCCUCUGAAUCAGAGUAUUACCAAGAGGAUGUGGCCAACUCAAAUGUUCGGGGACAAAAGGAGGGAACAUUUUGUCCUGAUCAGGUAAUGGGCCAACCAUGGGUGGUCGAAUCAUACCAUCACAAUCACCCGGUCUGAUACCCCCAGGCUGCGACAUUGGCAUCUGAAUUUGAUUCUCUCCAAACAACCUUGAUGUCGAUCCAGAAUGGAAUGAACCAUACGAUUUCUGCAUUGGAGGCUGAAUAUUUUCAGAGAAACCAUGCUUAGGACCAGGAUGCAUCAGAUGCUGAGGAAGCAUUCUCUCCGGUCCAGCUGGAUGUUUUGAUCCCAUGCCUGGGGGCACAAAGGAGCCUGGUGCCCCUGCAUUUUUCUGUGAUGCCUUCUGUAAUGAUCCACCUUUCUCACAAUUAUCCGAAGCCUUGUGCUCUUUUCCUCCCUGUACUGGACCAUUUGAAUUGCCUGCCCAGGCAGCAAUUCCAUCCCUUCCAAUUGAACCAUCUGUGAUGUGUGAUGCAACGCCAGUUUGCACUGCAUCUUUUCUAACACCACCAAAAUCAUUAUGUUCUCUGUUUAUGUUUUCAUCGCCCAAACCCUUCAACAUUGUAGGUCUCAUUACAGCAGAUUCAGGACCAUUAUUUUUACUUUCGCUAACAGCAGUACUAUCAGCAGCAUUACUUGCAGUUUCUGACUUUCCUGGUUGCGAAGCAUGUGUUCCCAGAGCUACAGAACCCUGCCCCAUAGGUUGCCCAGCAGCAGGCAACUGGGAUGCUAAUACCACAUUAUCAGAUCUAAGCAUUGUUGGCUGUUGUUUUAUGGCAUCUUGAAAACUGUUAACUGGGCCACCAGGUUGAUGUAGAAAUUGCUGUGGCGGCGCAAGAUGACUCGUAGGUCUGCCAGCUGAAGUUUGAACAUGAUGCCCAGCAUAGCCAUAGCCAGGAACAUGCUGCUGCAUAUAUGGCUGACCAUGAGGUUGUGAAGGUUGGGAAUGCAAGUGUUGUUGUGAUGAGGGUAUUCCUUGCUGGUAUGGCUGACCUUGUGAGGAAACAUAUGAGUGAGGAGGCAAUCCUUGCAGUGAUGUCUGGGAAGGGAUGACAGAAUGCAUUUGUGGCCGCUGAGUGGGGUACCCAAUAUGUUGUUGAUGUUGUGUUGUAUGCUGAAUUCCUUGUGGAGUCUGCAUAGCUGGCUGUUGGCCUGGCAAUGGAGGGCGCAUUGAUGCAGGAUGCUGAGAAACAGGGUGUUGCAAUGAAGCGCUGUGUGGCAUCUGCUGCUGUGAUUGCGGCGCAUAGGCCUGUGGCUGUGGGUAAGAUUGCUGCUGCACUUGUGGAGAUUGGAGCUUGACUUGAGAGUUUAGCUGCAUCUGAGGUUGAAGAUUUUGCUGUGGAGGUAAGGCUUGCAUAUGUGCAUGUUGUUGCUGGGCAACGGUCUGUUGCUGUUGUGGAGGUUGAGCUUGUACUUGUGCAGGUUGUAAUGUGGGGCCAGACAGUUGAAGAGGUACUUGACUUUGUGGUUGCAGCUGGGGAACUUGUGGGGCUGAUUGAAUUGGCUGCUGAGGCUGAGACUGACCUGAAGGUGCUUGAAGAUGGGGAAGGUGGGGCUGACUUUGGGGUUGGGGUUGGGGUUGGGGUUGCACUGGAUGCUGCUGAGGCUGUGCAUAACCUGUUGGUGGUGGAAGCCGGGGCUGACUUUGGGGUUGCGUCAUGAGUUGGGGCUGAGAGGACUGCACCUGAGGCUGAACAUAUGAGGUAGGCUGUGCAGAACCUUGUGUCAUAUUUUGGGACGCCACUUGCAUUUGAGGUUGCGUGUACUGCUGAUGCACCUGCUGGUAUUGGCCAUACUGUUGAUAUUGCUGCAUGUAAGGGUUGUACCCAGGGUACUGCUGCUGGUAGUACUGUGAGCAUUGGAGUUGCUGCUGGUACCACUGCUCAGCUGUUGGAGUUUGAGAAGAAGCAGCUGAUGCAGCUGCUAAGGAAGGGGGUGCUGUUGCUGUGCUUGCACCAGUUGCCCCUCCUGUUGCUGCAGCAGAAGCUGUGACAGCUGUGGCUGUAGCUGCAGAUGGCAAUGUCAUAGCUGGAGCUGCAGCAGAGCCUGCUGGGGCAAGUGAUGGAUCUUGGGUGAUUGCUUGAGUUGUUGCAGCCGAUGGCUGUGCUUGACUACCAUCAGCUUGAUGUGUUUGAGAUUGUGAGCCCUGCAAAUAACAAACAGGUAAAAAGAUUAUCAGUAACAACACAUUUCUAGACAUAACUAGGAGAUUCUGAGGACAUGAUGGACAUACAGGGCAGAGUUGAGCAUGUUCUUGCACUUGACGAUGUACAAUCUGUGUCCCACAACGAUUACAAACAACAGGGGAGUUCCCAUAUGCACAAGCAGUACUGUGUGUGAUACACGCAGAUAGCGUUCCUUGCCAUUGGCAACCACUCUUAUUAUACAGGCAAUGGACUGUGACCUUGCCAAUUGUCUCAGCAAGGGAUUUAUUUGAUUCUGUCAGAGGCUGCAUAUUGCAAAUUAGGUUGUAAGAGGAGUGCCACAACUUGAUAUGUUUUAACUCAUUGAAUAUGCAUACCUUGGAAUCAGUUUCUGUCACCAAGUAGCCAUCAUAAGGGCAAGCUUUUGUGGUUGCCGCUACAUAAGCUAAGCAGGGUUUGCAGUAGAGAUGUGUGCACUGAGUUUGCAAAGCUUCAUUGGGAUAUAUGAGUGUACGACAAACAGGGCAGAAAUAUUCACCAGGAAGGGAUUGAAUACUCAUAAUGCAUUCAUUAUCGAAACCCAUUGCUGAAACUUGCUAACUUCUGCCAGAUCAAAUGUCAAAUCUGCACAAAUAAUCACAUACACUUACGCAUUGAAUGUGUGCAAUGCUGCUAUAGGGGAUUGAUGCAUAGAACAUGUGCCUCUACCAUUCAGAGUUAAAGAAAUCAAGUGUGAUAAACACUUGAUAUGCACAACACAAGAACAUAGUGUCAUCUAAUAAAGGCACAGCAUCCAUGCCUAGUGCCUAUUUGUCACCUAGCCCGCUUAGCGGCUAUUAGGUGCUAGAGGCCACCUCAUCCCCGUCUAAUACUUUUGGAAUGUACAAAAGAAUAUUCGUGUCAAAUGCAGAACUUACUAGCAUUUAGACCAAAUAAUAUAUUAUGAAAGCUGAUAUGGCUAAGUCAACUAUUACCAAUAAGAACUAAGGAAAAGCAUUAAGUUAACAAAACUAGAAAACUGUGUCACAGAAAGUAGGGUAACAAUAGUAACCCAUUUCAUUAUAGAACUAAAGAGUGCCUUGCUCACUAUUCUAACAGGAAAAGUUAUGGCAGGUCAUCAAGGUAGCGAAGCUAAAGAGCACCAGCUAGGUAGCUACGGUACUAAACUGAGCAGAAACCGCAUACAAACUGAAACAAAAGUAGUAGCAUACAUAAUUAAAUCUGAAAUCGGUAAAGCUGUUGAGAAGGUAAUCCAGGUAGGGAAACUACCAAACAGUAAUGACAUAAUGAUUAAAGCUAGUAAUAACAUGAAAUCGCCAGCAUAAAUAAAGUUGAAACUGUCUAGUCUGAAAUGGACAGUAAUGGCCACAUAAUUGAUCAAGGCAUGCAUUAAUAAGGUGCACAGAAACCAAAUACAAGUAGAACAAAAGAACUAGUACUGCCAAACUGCAUUAUUGAAGCUGAAAUGGACACGUUAACGGCCACGAAUGGAAAUAUUUUCAUGUAAUAAAUAAUACCAUGCAACAAGAAUGCCACAUCGAUAUAGCUACAUAGCAAACAAAUACCUAAAAGCAGCUACCUCCAUGUGAGACACAAGAUAAACAAGCAAGAGAAUCGAGUGAUAGCAGAUAUCAACAUUGAUCUAGACUUCAAGAAUGAUUAUCAAAUAUGAGCAUGAAUAUACCAGUAGCAACUUGUAAAACCAUCAGACACAAACAGACGUGAAAAACAAUCAAGCAAUGCACUGCAGAUUAUGAUUUAGACAUCAUCUACAAGUGGAAUGGAAUAUAUAUUGCCAGAAUUACAGAUUGCAACAUUACUAAAAGACCCAGCCAUCCCAACGUGCCACUUCCAGUCAUUGACAAGUGGAAUGGAAUAUAUAUCAACGUGCAGUACCACAAGCCAAACCAAAAGUAGUAAUGUACAUAAUUAAAGCUGAAAUCAGGCCUAGCAUGGAAGGUAAUCCAGGUACGGAAAGUAACCAACAGCAUUACUAAGCUGCACAGAAACCAAAUACAAGGGGAACAAAAGAACGUAUACUAACAAACUGCAUUGUCGAAGCUGAAAUGGACAUGCUAAUGGUCGCAAAUGGAAAAAAUUUCAUGCAAUAAAUAAUACCAUGAAACAAUAACGCCACAUCAAUAUAGGUACAUAAUAAAGACAUACCUACAAUCAGUGACCACCCCCACCCACACGUGAGACACAAGAUAAACAGCCAAGAGAAUUGACUGAUAGUAUGAUAUCAACACUAAUCUGGACUUCAAGAAUGGUUGUCAAGUAUGGGCACGAAUCAUACCAGCAGCAAAUUAUAAAAUCAUGAGCCAUAAAACAGACAUGAAAAAACAAUCCAGCAAGCCACUGCAUAAUAUAUUAUGGAAGUAUGAUUUAGGCAUCACCAACAUGUCUCGCCAGAAUGAUCAAUCACUAAAAGGCCCAGCCAUCCCAACAAUGCACUUCCAUGACACAAGCUGGUGCAGUCUCAAGAUAAUUCUAACAAGCUACCCGCUUGCCCUUUCAGAACCAGUGCAAUCUAUUCACACGCACAAGAAAAAGGCUGCUCAUAAAGCACCUAAAUACCACACAAAGGAACGAACAAAAACUAAUCAGCUGCAAUCCUCCAUAAGAGAUCUAAGCAGGCAACACACCUCCCUCCACACAAGAACAUGGAACAGAGAGGCUCCAGGCUCCAAUCUAGGGAUAAACAACAAAAAGAAGGAUGCCAAAUCGCAACAAUGAAUGUUGCUUGGCUGCCAUGUACUCCACGAACCAACUUAUCACGAAACACUGAAUCCCCGAUCACACCACCGCCAUCAAGUGUAUACCAGAGAAAUGCGGAGCAAGGGAUAUGUACAUCUUCGUUCGUAACUCGCCAGCUCCAAAACCGCACCGGCAACGGUGGUGGAGGAAAACCCCAACCCUAGACCGGAGGCAACUCAAGCGGCCCGAACCUCCGUUGGGCGCGGAGGAAGGAUGGGGGUAGACCUCACCUAGGAGUCCACUGCGGCGGGCUGGAUCGCCGGGGGCACGAGGACGACGAAGCGAAGCAGGGUGGGGCCUGGAGGGCGGCGACUGGAAAGGUUUUGUCCUCGCUGUGCGUGCGACUGCGAACGACACCGAGGUCCGAGGAGACCAAGAUGCGGCAGGAUCUUGCAGAUUGGGCCCUAUAGAUUCUUACAGAUGGGCCGUAGGGAACUUCCAGACUGAAGCUAUAUAGCAAUACGGCCCUUCCUAAAGUUAUCUAGCAAUACGGCCCGUUCAGAGAACGAAGAAUUACGACUGUGACAUCAUUUCAACUAUGUGCCGUUUCAACAUUUUUCCAUUGCGUUUCGAAUUUCAGAGUUGGAAAAAUCAAAUCCGAAGAAAACACAAAUAUAACCACAUGGCUAACGCGAACUGAGCAUACCUACACAUCCAGUUCUCAACUCAGCACGGAUUCUCGUAUUUUUCUCAAUUUAUUACAGAAUUUAAUCAGUAUUGUUAGACCACGUGUCCAUCAAUAGCAAUACACCAGUAGUACCUUUGUCAAUUUUGAGAAUUCGCUUGUUCGAUCUUUUAAAGGUGCUUGGAUGGUAGAGUUGCAGUGUGUAUUUAUAUGAACGAGUGUGGAUGCGUGAACAUCGCGUCCUGUACCGUGUGAUUUGGAAAAAAAAUAACCACAUGGCUAACUACAGGCCAAGUUGGCAAGUUCACUAGUUCAGGAUGUCAGCUAGAAAGUCAAAGCGGCAAAGCCCAUCAUCCAAGAUUCCAAGCUUGUCCUCCAAGGCGAAACCAAGACGCACCCGUGGAGCAACGCGCGCCACGACGCAGACACCGCCUCGUCCACACAUCAGUCUCUUCUCGCCGCUUCUUAAAACCAACACACGCCCAGCACGGUGCCAAGGCAAAGCGCCGCUCAUCACACGCACAUCCAAAGAGCCCGACCGCUCAAAGACCAUCCUCUGAACCUGCACUGCACCGUGCCUAGCUAGCUCCAGCUCGCCUCCCGCCGACGAUCCGCCAUGGGGAUGGUGCUGGGCAAGAUCACGGUGGAGACGCCCAAGCACGAGGUCCUCCACACCGGCGCCGGCUACGAGAUCCGCAGGUACCCGCCCUGCGUCGCCGCGGAGUUCACCUACGACCCCAAGGAGUGGAAGGGCGACCCCGACGGCGGGUUCACCGUCCUCGCCAACUACAUCGGCGCCCUCGGCAAGCCGCAGAACACCAAGCCCGAGAAGAUCACCAUGACGGCUCCCGUCAUCACCUCCGGCGCCGGCGACGGCGAGGCGUCCUCCGAGAAGAUCGCCAUGACGGCGCCGGUCAUCACCACCGGCGGCGAGCCGGAGCCGGUCGCGAUGACCGCGCCCGUGAUCACGGACGACCAGCAGGCGCCGGGCAAGGUGACAAUGCAGUUCCUGCUGCCGUCCAAGUACGCCAAGGCGGAGGAUGCGCCGCGGCCGACGGACGAGCGGGUGGUGAUCCGCGAGGUGCCGGAGAGGAAGUACGGGGUGGCGAGGUUCAGCGGGGUGGCUGCGGAGAAGACGGUGCGGGAGAAGGCGGAGGGGCUCAGGGCCGCGCUGGAGAAGGAUGGGUACACCGUCAAGGGCCCCUUCGUGCUGGCGCGGUACAACCCGCCCUUCACGCUCCCACCGCUGCGCACCAACGAGGUCAUGAUCCCCGUCGAGUGACCACCCGCACUCGGCCACCGCCCAGCUGCCGGGCCGCGGCUGUUCAGUGAUUUGAGUGUUGGACGUUUCAGGGACUCUGUUUCGUAUCUGUAUUUCCUUCGAACCUGUUGUCUUACUAGUCUUUUCUUGUGUAAUUAUUGUAAAAAUAUGCUUAGUGUGACAAAUAAUGGAUAAGUUUCUACUACUCUCGGUCGAUACUUAGUUACUUACAUACCGGCACGGUGGUGCUGCGGCCCUACAGUAGCUCUGCAUUUCAGAAAGAGUUUUUUCAGUACAAACACAAGAACGAUUUAACUUGGUUUGUUCAGUCGGCAAGGCAUAAACACGACCUUAAAUUGAUUUCAAAUGGAGGUUUAUUGAACAACAGGAGUGUUUCAAAAAAUUAUUUUGAAAAGUUUGCACAGUAGUUGACUGUGUUGGUUUUUAUAUGGCUUUCAACAUUAUUCAUAUAAUGUGGUUAUUAUUUAACUCAAUGUGGAAUUAUUCGGAUACAUGUGAUUCAUAUAGUGUGGUUAUUAUUUAACUCAAUGUGAAAUUAUUCGGAUACAUGUGAUAAGGAAUAAUUGAUGCGGAAUUUAACUCGAGGAGAGGAUGUUUGUGCUAGAAUAGAGAAGAGGAAUUAAUCGAGAUCAACUCUACUGGAAUAUUUCUUAUGUACAUACAUGUUUGACUUUGGUACAGUACGACGAAAAAAGCUGGGUUUGUUUUGCAGGAUCGGUUUUGUAGGCUGUUAAACCGACAUGAUCCUAUUGACAUGUGUACUAGCGACUUAUAUAUUUUAGACUCAUCAAACCGACAUGUCUGAUCGUGGUUGGUCACAUCUUUCAGGAGUCACACGGAUUUUUCGGAACACGGGUGAAAUAUUUAUAAUGCCUGGAAGCGGAGCUGGAUCCCUACUCUCUAACUCUGCAUUGUGAGCGGCACAGGUAGGGAAAUAGAGGUAGAGCGUAUAGAUCCACGGAACCAUACAAAUUGUGCCCUGCUUGGAAACUGGGGGAGCGGGGGACAGGGAGCUGCUCUUUUCCUUCGGUCCCCAAUUUUUUAGCUACGGAGUACGGACCGUACUGAAUUCGGCCCAGCCUAGUUGGCCUGACUUUUCAUGUUCUAUGUGGGCUUUAUCUAGCCCAGCCCGAAAAUGCUCGGAUGUCGUCCCCCCAUGCAUUUCUCCCGUUACGGGCGCGACCCGACAUCCUUAACGGUUGCUAAAACCCUUAUCGGAUCACACUGACACUGGAUAGAGUCGAGUCGAACGCUCGUCGCCGUCCCCCUUCCUUCCUCACCUCGACCAAAUAGGAGCGGCAAUGGCCAUGGCCACCCCCGCCUUCCUCCUACCAGCGCUGUUCCCCAAGCCCAAUUUCCUCGCCGCACCUCUCCAUCCAAGUCUCCCACGAGGCCGCCAACUCCGCUGCUCGCCCAACGGCGCCGCCGUGCCGGAAUCCCCUAAACCCGCUUCUCGCCGCGGCCGCAAGAAGUCCCCGUCCCCGUCCCCGUCCCCGUCGGCGCCGAAGGCGAAGGCCACGAGGCGGAGAACCAAGAAGGAGGGCCAGGAGUCAGACUCGGAGGGCCAAGAGGAGCCGGCGAAGCGGACCAGCCGCCGGACAAGGAAGUCCAAGGAAGAGACCAAGCAGGAGGAGAUUGUGGCGCAGAUGGCGAGCGACGGAACUGAGGAGACGAGUCAAGAGUCCGAGGAGGAGGAUGGGUUGGAGGUGGGGGGCGACUACGACGACGCGGAGGAUUUCGCGAACGAUUGGCCUCCGCUGGUGUGCUGCUUCGGCGCGCCGCGUUGGGAGUUCGUGCCCACGGUGCGGGUGUCGGACCGGCAGAUGCACCCCGAUCAGUACUCCACGUGGCUGCACCUGCAAUGGGAGCCGCCGGAGUUCGCGCGCGCGCCGGGUAGCGCGGCGAGCAACGUGGCCAUCGCGCACACCCGGCUCGGAGGGCGCGCCGCGGUGCUGGGCAAGGUCGGGGACGACGACUUCGGCCGCGAGCUUGUGUACCGUAUGAACUGCGAGCGGGUACAGACACGCGCCAUCAAGUUCGACGGCAAAGCAGCCACGGCCAUGGCGCGCAUGAAGGUGAGCUUCCGGGACCGGGAGGAUGGCAAGGGCGGCACCAAGCUUGUGGCCGAGACGGUGAAGAGCGCUGCCGAGGACUCCCUCCGCAAGAACGAGAUCAAUGUCGAUGUGUUGAAAGAGGUGAGUUGGUGAUACUUUGGAGGAACAUUAUGCUCGCGUCGUCAUUUUGCAGCAAGCUAUGUCUGAGUGUCUCUAUGCGGAUGACCACCAGUCCACCAAGGUGCACUGUUUGCAUAGCAAUUGCAUCAAAGCAAUUCUUAGUUUUCAAACAAAAUUAAUGUGAUCUAGCAGCAUGACAUGAUUGUAACCUCUUUUUGUGUGUGUCAUUGAAGGUCUAUUCUUGAAACAAGAUUCAACCUUGAUGCUAAACUCUCUACUCAACUUGUUUAAGUAUUCAGACAGAUGCCAUUUGAUCUUGUAGUUCAGAUUAUGAGAUGAAUUGGCACCUGAUCCCUCUUUAUAUAAUCUAAGAUAGCAACGGAUUAUGAAUUGAUAAAAGUUUCAGUAUGUGCUGCAUAUUUACGUUGUUGCUUACAAGAUGAGUUUUCGAUGUUGUCAUUGCUAUUACAUAGUCAACAUUUUUUUAAUUCAAAUCUAAUCCUUAGUAAUUACACAGGCCAGAAUGUUCCAUUUCAGUUCAGAAGUUCUGUUAAAUCCCUCAAUGCAUGAUACACUCUUCAGAGCCAUUGAAAUGUCCAAGAAAUUUGGAAGUAAAGUAUUCUUCGAUCUGAAUUUGCCAUUGCCAUUGUGGACAUCAAGGGAUGAGACAAAGGAGGUGAUAAAUAGGGCAUGGAAAGAGGCUGAUAUAAUAGAGCUGUCAAGGGACGAGCUUGAAUUCCUCCUUGAUCAUGAGUAUUAUGAAUACAAGAGAAGGACUCCACCUCAGUAUUAUCUGGAAGGAUUCCAUUUUACAAGAAACUGGCCACAGUACUACCACUACAGCCCUGAAGAGAUCGCUCCUAUUUGGCAUGAUGGAAUAAAGGUCCUGCUUGUGACCUACGGGACACUUCGGAUCCACUACUACACGCCCAAGUUUCAUGGCUGUGUGGUUGGGACAGAGGAUGCACUCAUAACUCCAUACACCACUGACCGAACAGGUUCUGGGGAUGCUGUUGUUGCUGCUGCUAUUAGGAAGUUGACAACUUGUCCUGAGAUGUACGAGGACCAGGAUACAUUGGAGAGGCAACUGAGAUUUGCUGUUGCUGCUGGAAUCAUAUCACAGUGGACAAUUGGUGCUGUGCGAGGGUUUCCCACUGAGAGUGCCGCCCAGAACUUGAAGGAACAAGUCUAUGUGCCUUCUAUGUGGUGAAAUGGUAAAUCAUUUGCCAAGACAUGAACAACAUAUUAAAUACAAGCAUACUUCAAGAAUGGUCUAACAGAAUUGAACAAGGGAUUUUUUUUUUCUUUUACCACAAGAGAGCUACAGGCGCAAUUUAUAUGCACGGAUUGCUCAGGUAUCCUCGUACCAUCCCCAUUCUGUAAUCAUUUCAAUGUUAGGGGCAGUAUGCAUGUCAUUAAAUGCAUUAGAAAGUUUGACUGCUACUGAAAUGCCUCUAUUGACUGACAAAUGUUAUAUAGCUGAAUCUUCAAUUUAGCUUGUGAACUGAAUUUGCAAUCAGACUCUAUUUGAUGUGCUACUGUAAAAUAUGCUGCUUUACAUUUUAAUUUUGGUCAUGAUUUCUAAACCAUAGUAAGGACCCUGUGUUGAAUGAGCACGCAGUUCUGGGGAGAUUUUAGUGACUAUAUUUCUUUUUUCUCGACCACAAGGAGAGUCUUCUCCCAGACAUUUUUUUUUAGUUUAAGUAAUAGGAUACUGAACCCUGGCUGGCUAGGAAACUUGCUGAAACCAGUUUCUCAGGGAGCUACCCGCAAAUUGGUGAGCCCCGGGUUUGACCCUGGGUGGCCCUCUCAACUGAAGGUACUAAUCAGCUGAGCUACUGCUUGGCAUAGCUUGGUUCUCAUUUGGUGGCUAUAUUCAUUUAGACUAAAACUAAUGUGGGACGAGGGAAGGCACAUGAACAUAAAUGUUGAUGGACUGAACUAGGCUACCAAUAUUUUAUGACAGCGAAAAACGUGUAACAACAUCCAAUAUUUCAGUUGCAGUUACAUGUAAUAAACUAGGCUAGAAAAGGAUAUAAUUUGUUGCUUGUACAUAAAAUCUUGAUCCGGGAAGGGUAAGACCAGAACGAGGUCUUGCCUGAGUGGAGGCCACCCUCGAAGGGAAUCAUUGUGCAUACACAUAAUUUGCACCUGUGCCUAAUAAAAUGAAUAAAAUCAAAUUUAUCAAAAAGAGGUAAGACUGUAUUCUGGACUAUAGGGUAAAGCAUACAAAACUGUUCAAUUUAGCUAAUUCUAUCCUCUUGUGGCACAUAUAUCCUCUUAGAAUUUCUUUGCCUCUUCUAUUUUUAAACUUGGAUGAAUAAUUAUUCGAAAGCGCGCAUCUCAGUGAGUGCUCCCUCCCAUAUCCUUGUGGAAGAUUGAAAAGUACACGAAUUCUAUCUGCGUCUAGAAAAAUAAUAUGUGCUCUUGCUGUCAGUUUACCAGGACUUGUGCUGUUUGCUGUAUAUCAAUGAGUUGGACGAAAUUCUGCGUCCAUGCUACAUGCAGUUAAGCUCGCUGUACACUUGAGGAAUGAACUAUCCAUUCCUCAGUAGUUUGUAUAGUAAGUUCAUGCCACCUGAUCCUGUGUGUUUCUUUUGCACAAGCACCCUGGAAGAGGAUUUGCAUAAAAGUACUCCUCAUGCCUUGCACUUCGACCAGACAGCCUCUGAUAUGGACCUCCAAGCCUGUUUUCAUGAUGCAUCUUCACUUCACUUUCAAACUCAUUCCAAUUUAUUGUACCUUCAUCAAGCUUGUCAAUCAUCUCGACAAGCUUCUGCCUACAGACAGUCGAAAAAUUCAGCACUUUGGAUUGAGAUCUAAAUACUGGAAACAACAUUCCAGAAAUUUACCUGUUGGGGUUAAUGGUUUUUCGGAAUCCUUCGUAUCUUCUAUGACCCUGGACUGCUUUAGCCAUAUUUCCAUCAUAUGUAUACACAAAAACGUCACUCUGGAGGGCUACAUUGUAAUCCACAGCAGCUAAUCUGUUUUGGUACAGCUUGAGAGACUCUAAUUCAUUUUCUGUUGCCAGACUAUAAUGUGUGUAGAAAUUUGGAUAUUCAGCCCUUAAUGCAUCCAUGCUAUGUACACCAUACAGUUCACCUGCUACAAUGUAGAUCUUCGUGCUGGAAGGAUAACCCAUAGCUUUUAGGAAAAGAGCUGCUUCGCGAGGAGUCAUAGGGCAGCCUCCUUGGAGUCGCCUCUCCUCACUGUUGAUUUCCUUCUCUUUCCAGUGCUGCACCUUGAGUCGCAUUUCCCUAAGUUCCUCUGCCUCUUGAUGUGUUAGGUUGUGGCUGCAGCCUGUAAACGAGAGCAUGUCCUUCUCGUACCUGUCAGUUUAUAAGGAAACCAAAAGUAUCACUGAUCUGCUAAUUCCUCUUGAGUCUUGAGCAAAAUGAUGCCAGCCUCAUAUUAGACAAUUGCAGUUUCAGUCACCUUAAGUGAAGUGCGAUAUAAUUGCUGGACCCAUUCCUCAGUCUAUCAACUAGAGUAUUACCUAGCUCUUCGAUUUCUUUCUUGUAUCUUAAUGCCUCGUAAUUUGCCCGGCAACGGAGUCGUUGGAUGGAAGGAGGGAGACCAUUGUUAACAAUCCGAGAAUCUGUAUGUGUGAAUUUCACAACUUUGGUCUUCUUCAGUGUCCUUGUGAAAGCUCUGUAAUAAGAAGCCUGCAAAAAGUAAGGAAGUAAGUUGCCUUUUCUUUUUCUGCCUGCUCAAAUUUCUUGAUCUGUAAGUAGUUGCUAUGUCCACUUAGCCUGAAGUAGUCGGUCCAUACCUUGGCCCAGGACUUGGGCGCUCUAAUAUAGGGUUUCAAUCUUUUGUAAGCUGGUGGCAAGGAAUCCACAAUCAUGAUGUCAUUUUCUAAAGUUUCCUUGAAGUGCUCAACGUCAAAUAUAUCUUUGAAAUCGCUGCAUGUCAAGACAAAACAUCAGUAAUCCCAAAAAUUCCUAUAGAAUGUUCGCUGUUUUGGUUGCAAAGAGAUGGACCUUGGAUCUGUCCAGAACGAUUUAUGAUCCAGAGUAGGGAUUACUAGGGUGGCGUUCAUGAGCUUAGCAACUGCAACCAUAUCGCUUAUCUGCAAGAAUGAUUUUGAAGAAAUGCAUGUAAGCUGAAAUUCCUAUGUUCAAGUUUUGUAAGAUAAUUGUAUACGUACUCCCAUUCUCAUCUGGUUCAGGCCACCAUUGGCGUCGACGAUUAUGUAACCAGCCGUUGCACUGUUGAUUCCUGAAAAAAGCAGAGCAAGUGUUACCCAAAUGUAAGCACUCAGUUGAGACUAGUUAAUUUUAACUCGAAGAUGGAAGAUUACUUAGAACUAAUGUUUAACUUGAAGGAAGAUGGGGAAGAUAAGCUUACUGUAACGGUUUUUUGGGCGUUCGAUACAUUUUGUGUAACCCUUGUUAUCCAGUUUCGUCCAUAUCUGGGUCAUCUGGUGGAUUUCAAAGCAAGUUUUCAGUACAAGCACUUCAUAAAUUCUACAACCAUGCACCGACAUGAAUGAAAUUCUGAAAUCAAUAAUAUAAAUUAGGAGCACCUGUAUCUAAUAAAUUCUUUCUGUUGCUUUAUUUGCAGGUCUAUGGUUGCUUUAGUUAGGCGGCAGAAAGGCAGGGUCCUUGCUUCAUAUUGUCCAAUCUGCAACAAACUCUUUUUUGCCCGUAGCACUACUAGGGUACUUCGUGGGGUAGGAUGGGUUGAUGCAAACUCUCACUUUAUGUCCAUUCAUUUUUAGCUCUUGUUUUCAUUCUCUCUUUAUUUCUUCUUUUUUGAAGACUCAUGUAGAAUUUUGGAGGUUUAAGGAUUAGGUAGCGUUAGGAAACACCAAAAUUUUGUCCACGCGCAGGAUUCUGAUCUUCUCUGGAUAUGUGUCUUGACUCUCCAAUGGCAACUUGUCUGUAGUCUCAUGAUGUAACUGUCAGCACUGUAGCUUGCCAGCUUGUUUAUCAUCUGGUUGUUCUGCCUAUGCAUGUACGAUUUUGAACAACUGUUUUACAAUAACUCGUGAUUUGUAAAACAACUUUGCAACCAGGAGGGCAAAAUCUCAAGUGGUGGUUGACUUAUUAAUCAAGUGGUCAAAAGCACCUGGUUGUAGCGAAGUUGUACAAAAAAAUUGUAUGUCAACUUGUCAAGUAUUUCCUUUCAGGAAAUAUGAACUUCUGUGGAACACAUAUCAAUAUUAUUUCACUUAAAAUUUGUAAUUCUGCUAUGUUUUUUUUUGGUGUGGCAGUGCACUUCCUUCAAUGCUUUUGAAACGAGCCAGCAGGGGAGUUCCCCUGCUUAUUCCACUUCACUGUGAAUUUUCGCAAUGUUCAAUUAGCUAUGUGCGCCCAUUUCUGGUUUUGAGAACAUCAACGUCAACCCCUUUGGAAGCGCCUUGCUAAGGGCCCAUAUCGAUGACAUUAAGUACAAGGCAUGGGUAUCGGUAUCACUCUCCCAAUUGAAUUCCCCCUCUGGACUGGUAACCAAAUAACAACACGAAAAAAGAAGAGAAUAAAUGGCGAUUUGCCAAAGAGUUGGCACUUAUUCUUCUGACAAGGACAUGUACGGAAGGCGGCCCUGAGUCCUUCCCGAAUUCUGGUGCUUCUGAAAUGUCUUCGGCAUCCCAGUCUGAAUGUCUGAUCCUACAGCAAAGAUCCAAAACACGGCAACUACGACGCGCCCGCCCGCCCGCCCGCCAUGAAACUUCUCUUGUUUCUCAAGCGCGCGCACACGCAUACCCCGCCAGACCCAGUCCACGAAGAGCAAACGAUCCAACGCGUCUCUUCCGCGUCCAACCGCCGACUCGGAUCCCGCUAACUCGACAGAUUCGAAUGGUUUCAAGUUCAUGAAAAAAAAGUUUUCAAAGUCCCCAGUUUUAACUGUAAUUAACAUGCUAAUUACUGGCAGGGUCUAGUCUAGUGCAUCAUGUGCAUGGCAAGAAGAGUAACUGAGCAGUCAACGGCGUGGUCGAGCACUCACCGGCGGGUCGGGCGGGCGGCGAGCGACGGCGGUCAGGUUCUCCUCCCUCCACCCGAGCACCUCGCCGUCGCCGGCGUCCACCCUCCGCACGAGCCUCCCCGCGCCGACGUCGCCCCGGCGAGAGCUCACGACGAGGACCAGGACGACGGCGGCGCCGAGCAGGCACGCCACCGCGUUCCUCACCCAGGCCCGGUCGACCGCCGGCACCCGCUUGCCGCUGCCGCCGCUCCUCCUCGCGAAGAGGAGCGCCUUCACGUGCCCGCGGCGCUCGGUCCCGCUGUCGCUGUCGUCGCUCGGGACGCCGCAGCAGUCGGCGGCCGCGUCGCGCUCCACGUCCGCCAGGCGGCGGCGGUGGGCGCCGGACGGGACGGGGCUGGAGCUGGAGGACGACGAGGAGGAGGAUGACGCCGGGGACGACGACGACGACGACGCGACCAUGGCUGAAGCAAGCGCAAGCGCGCGUGCACUCCUGGCUUCGUUUGGUUUGGAGUUUGGACACACCCAAGCGCGCGCAGGAGCUCGAUCGAUCACCUUGGCCGCUCCGGUCGGCAACCGCGCGGGAGUAAGGGGAACGUGGGGGCGAGGUGGGUGGUGGUUCGGAGUUUGCACGAGGAGUCGUGCGCGCGCGUGCGUGCGUGCCCUCCCUACCUUCCCCGCUGGCGGUUCGGCUCCGCCACGCGCUGCUGCCUGCCAGGUGCGCCGCGCGCGGGCGUGGAGAGGGUAGGGGAGCACGGAGCAAGCAAGUUUUAUUCUUCAGCUCGCUCUCGCGCCGGUGCCGUUGGCCCUCGGCUGUGCCAUGCCCCGACCCCGAUCACCCGAUGGCAGGCAGGCACCGCGCGGGCGGGCUCGCUUUCGUGGCCAUCGUCGUUUAUACGGCUCGCUUUCGCGGCUCUCUUUUACGGGCGUGACGGGCGACGGGUGCGGGCGCGGUGUGGUGCCGCCGUGGGAAGGAGGGCGAAAUCUUUAGGCGCGCUGCCCUACGUGUCCGAAUUCCUGAUGCCCCAGGUCCCAAGUGGAUAAAGGGUUGAGCUGAAUUGGCUGCGCUUGAUCAGAUUAAAGAUGAAGGUCUUUCAGAAAAAUAAAGAUUAACAGACGGAUCAGGUCAGGACUCGUGAAGCGACCAGCAGGUAGUGCACGCUACAGAUGAUCCGUGAAAGUAGCUUUUCCUUUUCUAGAUGCCGGAUGGGACUCCAGGGUGUUUGGAUAGGAGGUGCUAAACUUUUUAACAGUGUCACAUUCGAUGUUCGAUGCUAAUUAAGAGAACUAAACAUGAGCUAAUUAUAAAACUAAUUACAGAACCCCUAGGCUAAUUAAUUCGCGAGACGAAUCUAUUAAGCCUAAUUAAUUCAUCAUUAGCAAAUGGUUACUGUAGCACCACAUUGUCAAACCAAUAGAUUCGUCUCGCGAAUUAGACUUCAUCUGUGCAAUUAGUUUUGUAAUUAGUCUAUAUUUAAUACUUCUAAUUAGUAUCUAAACAUCCGAUGUGACAGAUGCUAAGCUUUAGCGGGUGUAUCAAACACCCCCUUAGCCUUUUCCGUUGCCAAUGCGUACAAAGAGAAUAUAGCACAAUGGACCGAAUGGUCCACAUGCGGAUCGAAGCUUCGCCGAGCAGAGCUAUCGCAUACGAUCAGUGCGUGCAACAAUCCUUAAUGCGUACUGCGAUUGCCGCCUUAACUUUAAUUUGCACCGGCAGUGGAGGUGGUCCUGCCGCCGUGCUAGUGCUAGCGUGCCUGAUCCCUUAGCUGAAAACACUGACCAUUUGGUAGGUAGGGACGCCCGUGUGUGCUAACCCAACGUAUUUAAAGUUGUGAACUGGUGAUGCGCUGCUGACCGAGUUUUCUCCCGCUUUGACGUAGUCCCGAAUAUUAAAAAUAGAACGGCCUUUUUUUUUCUGUAGUGCCGCGUCAACGGGUUGAUUCUCUCGGCACGCUUGAAAAGUCAGCUGGGCACUUAGCGCCGCCACGUCCUCGAGAGGCAGCCUACCGCGUGUAUUCGCGCGAGCUGCAGCCACACGGCGUCCCAAAGACCCUCGCCGCAUCUCGUUGUCAAACUUGGCUUUUUCUAAGGCGUGGCUAAUAAUUUAUUCCCCACACCUUAGACAUAGUAUGGUUUUAUAAAAAAAAAUUUAGAUCUGUGCCAAGAGAACAAUCAUGUCAAAAAUCAAAUAGCUAGCAUGCAGAAGAACUCUAUGACGUGGCAAUGUUUGGGUAGGAACCGGGAAUGCGUAAGAGUGAGCCGUGACAAGCUAAUCCUAUCGGCCCAUGAUGAUGCAUCUGACUCUGACCAAGCGUACGUAAUCCAGCCCGGUUCAGUGCCCGCGGCACCAGGGACAUGACCAGUGCACGCCGGUGGACGGUGGUGCACAUCGGAUGGGCGACACGAGGACGACGAGUCUCCACGGGCCGCGACGAUGAUGGCCAGUGCGAGGACCCAGCUGUUCUUGUCUGUUUGCAUCCGGUCAGGCCGAUGGAUGCGCGUGCAACGCAUCCCAAGUGGGAAUCCACCGAACGGAGACGGUGGUUGGCCGCCGCCCCCCUGCCGGGUCGGGUUCUAGUCUAAUCAAGUUGACGCGCACUACUUAGCCUAGUGUUUCGCUUGGUGCUCGGCAACGAACUUUGCUUAUCAAAUGGUGCCACGAGUGUGGGUUGAGCACUAAUUUCCUCUGCCCUGGUUCUUACAGCAAAUGGCUUUGUUUAGAUUGCAAUAUCUGAUUUGUUUGAGGUGACAUGUCAGGUCAACACGAGUAAUGUUGAAUAGUCACCUCAGAAGAGGCUUGCGUGACACGUGGAUGGCCGCUCGAAUUUGCGAUACGGUUGGAUAUGAUGGUGAUGCAUAUUCAGUAUAUUGGUAUCAGGUAUGGGUGCAAUGCAAUUUAUUGUGUGUGAAAUAAAUUGAGACGACGGCGCCCUUACUCUCGGCGCCAUGAGACACCGACGCGUUUAGAUUUAGGUACGCGCCAACGCGGCCGCCAGAUGGAGGAACAAGGAGCACUCCUUUUUUUGCGUCAACGUUGGUCUUGAUCGAGCCCGACUAGCGCGACAAGGGCAGGGUUCUCGCGUCGCGUCACCGUCUGUGACUAAGCGCCGGAAACCAGCGACCUAGUAAUUCUUCUGCUCCGGAGCUUACCGCAGGUCUGUCGCGCGGCACCAAACAACACAUGAACCCGUGACCCGGCCAGCCUCUGCCCAGUCCAUCAAGCGCCGGAACGUGCCUCUGACUGCUGGGUGGUGGCUGCUGGUGCUCCGCAACCGCAGCCUCCCGGCCACGGCCACGACGCGAAGCAAAGCAUCCGGGGCGGGAGCGGGACGAGGACGCGAGGCCUAGCAUGCCUCGCACGGAAGCCACUCGUUAGUCGUGACCUCGCCCUGCGCGGUCAGCGACGUAACCUUGCCCGAGGGUUACAAAGCCACACCACGACAUUGUUUAGAGACACGGGCGCGCGCGCGGGGGCACCGCAGCCCCGCGUGCCGGUGGCGUUCGGUCCCGCCCAACAACAGCAACAACAAGGCAACGACGCCAUCCGCAGAUUGGUCGGGGACCUAGGAGGACGAGCGUGCAGGAGUACAUCCACGCCACGGACUUGGGGAAUCCAGGACUUCGAUCUUGGGAAGCGUCAGCCUUCCGGGUUCAGGCGUACAGCUUCGGCCACCGCCACGGCCAACCGGCUGAUCCUCACGCGCACGCGUGACAUCCACCGCCACCGGGAUGGAUUUUCAGAUGAUCUCCAGCAGGAUACAUGUACUGUGCACGUGAUCGGUCGCGUGUUGCCGCCAACUGGGCGUGCCGCUGGAGUUUGGAGGCAAGCUGGUUGUUUGGAUCAGCCGGCGUCAGGACGUCUCAGCAAACCAUUGAUUGAGUGGAGGAACCGACGGUCACAGCCGCUGAUAUCGUAGCACUGACAAAUCGGAACAUCUUCGAAAUAAGUCAGGUCCUUUACCUAAUUACCUACAACAUUUGGCCUGCUGCUGCUACUAUAGUUCACAGAACAUUGCAGCUGCAAAGGCUACAAUAUGUAGGCUUACCACUACUGAGACAAGUGCCAGAAUUGUCUAGCGUUUGAAUCACAAGUUAACUCUCCAUUUUGGGUAGGAAGACUAUGAAGAGGGAAAAAACAGAGGCAUGAGUUAGCAAAACAUGACAAAAACUUCGGCCAAUUUACAGGAGUACCAAUUAUCAACAGAGCCUCUCUUUUUUCCCAAUGUCCUCAACAUCUACUAUAUUUUUUAAAUAAAAACUUCCGGCAGGAGUUCUGCUAGGUUUGUUUUAAUAGAGAAGAAGGGUUUACAAAAUUGGUGGCCUAAAGGUCAAAAAAGAGAAAAUAUCACAGCAAUGCUCGCUCACCGCCCAACCCUCUAAUCUCCUGGGAUGACCUCUAGUAGCCGUUUUGCUCCUGCAAGACCCCAUGUUCUUGCUUCUUCUUUGAUCUUCGCAAGGAGUGUUUCUGUGCAAGAUGUCAUCUUUGGAAAAUUCUCGCAUUACACUCUUUCCAAAUUUUCCAUGUGAACAUCCACUAAAGAUUCCCUAGAAGAAUCUGGCAAUAUGUGCUUCGGAUUUCUCCAGCAAUACUGGGAUAGUGAGAAUAUGACAGGGUAGACAAAAGUUCAAAAAGAUCAGCUAUACUGCUAUUGUUCUGUCCAUUCUAUUGGUAGGCACAAUAAACUAACAGAAGCAACCAUCCGAUUCAUAAAAAUGUUAAACCAAAUGGGUAGUCAUUCGCUCAGUUGUCUAAGUGCACAGUAAGGGAGAAAACUCACCACAGUAAGCCUCACAAGCAUAAAGCACCCACUGGAACAUACAUCGGACAGCUCCGGAAUGGAAAUGGCAGUAAAGUUACAAGUAUCUAUUUCUUGGACCAUUUUACAAGUAAUCUCACCAUAUUUAUUGAGAGCAGUGUCUAUGAUUAGCGAAGCUAGAGCAUGACAGGAAUCACCGGAUCGGUUAAUAUUGUUUGGCUUCGCUUCGCCUCACCUCUGAAAGGGCUUCAGUUGGAAGCUCAACAGCGAUCAAAAUAUAUGACAUACUACAGAACAAAAAAUUUGACCAAAACUUUACAAUCUGUACAAUGGUUAUUACUACUCCAAUAAUUGGUAGCUGGCAAGUAUUAGGAACAACUGCAAGUAUUCGGGCAUGAACAGCUCAUUUAACAACUAAGAGCCAUGCCCUCCAUCAAGUCAGGAUACAAACAACUUAAAGAUGUAACAGCGUGGACAAUUGAGACCUGUCAAUGUUUAAUACCCAAGCAGAACAGGAAAUAGCAUGUACACGGCUUGGAAUACUUACAACUAAUGCUAACCCAAAUUUAUCACGGUAAAAGGAGGGUAUGAAUAGUAUCCAAAUGUGACAUUAGUCAGUACUGUUGCACCUGCACCUGUCUGUCUGUGUAUACAGACAGUAUUAGAUAUCAACAACACGUAAGCUUAAUCGAGGAUUCAAUAGCGUUUCAGGUGCAGGAUGGAAAAUUUUCAAGAAAGGCAGGUGGUAAAAACAAUAAGCGAUCACAGAAGGUAGUGAUGAUAUCAGUAGCAGCUAGCUGGUCUGUGCCAAACAAUUAAAUAAGCUCAACAAGCUCACAAUAGACCUAUGGCUCCGUACAUGCACUGAUUAUCGAAUGUGAUACACUAACUAAUAAUUAAGUGUUGCUGUGGCACAUUCCUCACAAGGGUGGAAUCUGACUAUCAUAAUUUGUUAGGAAAACACAUAACAUAAUUUUACAAGGAAAAGUGUAUGGUCCCAACCUUAUAGAUUAUUUGAAUGCAACAUCCUCAGAACCUCUCUUUUCUCAUCCACUAUUUGUUCAUACUUCAUACUAGCUUGCCCUCUUACUCGUAUAACCUUUUUUCCUAGCUUGCUGAAGCAAUCUAAGUGGAAAUAUCAUGAUUAUCAACAUCACCAUUAAGAAACCCAUUGAUUCACCAGCUUUUCUUAAGUUUUUCUCUGAGUAAACCUGAAACCAAUGAGCUGAUAUAGCUGCUGCAAAUUAAUUAAGAGUAACACACAACUAGUAAAGUGACAGGAUGUAAGCAAACUAAAAGUAGAGUUUUCUCCUAAAAACAAAGCAAGUCACUGAAGUGUUAAGGUAACACGGACGCCUUGAAGUUACCAAAAAAUACUAUGGUAAGUAAAGUCAUUUGGGAGUGACCUCCAGAUUACAGUUAAGAAACAAGCAGGCAAGAAGCUCAAGGAACAGAAAAUCAAACAGUUAAAGGAUGGUCUACUGCAUGUGACUGGCACAGGGGCAAUUAAUUGAAUUUCAAGAUGCUCAGAAUCUAAUAUAUGAAGCUAUAGAUCUGUGAGGAAACUACGAACUGCCGAACUUAAUGUCUGUUCUGAAAGUGUACCGUGCGAAUUGUAAAAAUGUCUAAAAAACAGCUGAAACGCUAGUUACGCUAAUUUAUACCACAUCGUAGAGAUAUACACACAACAAAGAUACGUGUAGGCGUAUUGCGUAUCGUGUAUAGUACUUGUGUGCGUAGUAAAUAUGUUCAGAAAAAGGACGGGAGUCUAGUAGGAGGCAGCAUACUGGGCGUCGAAGCAGAAGACGGCCAGGCCGUGUGCCACGAGGUAGCGAGUGAGGAGCGCAACACCGCGGCGCUUGCGAGCACGAUGGUGCGGCACCCUAGGAUAUAACUCUGGUGGAGUCACCGCAAGCAGGGGAUCCACAGGUCGGUCGCGCGCAGAGGCGCCGCGGCCGUCCGCACCUGAGACUGAGAUCCCCAAGCGGCCGGAGGCGGAGGAGGUAAGGGGUAGAGCAUAGGCGGAGGAAAAGGGGGAAGACGGACGAUGGGGUUGAAGUGCGACACGCCGAUUCACUUGACCGCCGGGCGCUGGCUGCGGCUCUCUGGCAAGUCCAUGUCGCCGGCAGCGAAUGCGCAGAGAGCGAGGAGACCAGGAGAAAAGGAGGGACUAGUUCGAAAGAAAAACGUAUGAUUUAGAUCCGAUUAAGGGGGUUAUGUGUAAAUAUUUGGAUAGUGGAGAAUAAUAGCGAUCCGAUGAAGGGGUUUUGUGUAAAUAUUUGGAUCGCGGAGAAUAAUCGCGAUCCAAUAUAGGGGGUUUUGUGUAAAUAUUUGGAUCUCGGAGAAUAAUCGCGAUACAAUUUAGGGGGUUUUACGUAAAACUUUGGAUCGCGGUGAUUAAUUUGAAGCUUCUUUUUGUCUCGCGACCUUCCCCGCUCCGCUUCCGAUCACCGGCGGCCGCCACCCGACGUCGAAGGCACGCCCGAGGGAGCCGCCGUCGCUGUUCCUGAAGGAGAAACCGUUGGAAGAGAAUCUGUUUCAGGUAAUCACCUGUUCCGCCGGAGGACGCCAUCGUCGACAGGCGCAAAGCCCCCAAGGUCGCCACCGCCAUGGAUAAGUUUGCAUCGUUCAGCUCGGCACCUCGGCACUCUCGCGCCGUUGCCCACUCUCCGUGACGCCGCCGGCGCUGUCCCAUGUUCUUCGAAUCCAUGGAGGACAGGAUGGCGACAGAUUUCGUCUACCCUUCUCCGCCCCCUUUUCAUUAUCGCCGUUGACGAUCACCAAGACAGAAAGAAGCAGGGGCCAGGGGGUAUGGCGACAGGCCGCAUUUGUUUUGAGGACUCACAGUCCAUUGAUAGCAAGGAUGAAGUAAGCCGAUAGAUGUGGAUUUCAUUGAGAAUCUUCAGGCGCUGAAAGGUCCAAAUAUGGGUAAAGCCACCUGAAGAUGGUGGAAAUAGCACAAUUUCACCAAAGCUUAAAACUCUUGUAGACAGACCACGAUCGUGGUUGAUAUCACAAUUGUUUAGCCUCGAAAGACAGCCUAGUGUACACGGCAAAAUUUUGGAUAGGAAGAGAGCAAAAACAGAGUCGUGAGUUAACUCACAUGAUAAAGAUUUCGGUGAAUUACAGGGCCUCUCCUUUUCCCAGUGCCCUGUUCAACUCUUUGCAUGGUCGCUCGCAUGCCUGAACAUCCACUAAAGCGCCCUAGAAGAAUGUGGCAAUAUAGCUUCGAUUUCUCCAGCAAUGCUGGGAUGGUGAGAGCAAUAACGACACCUGGCAGACAAAAGUUCAACAAGAUCAGCUAUAUUGAUAUAUGUUUUAUCAUUUUAUUGGUACGCACAAUAAACUAACAGAAGCAACCAUCAGAUUCACAAAAAUGGUAAACCAAAUCGGUACAAUUCAGUUGUCUAAAUCCACAAUAAGGGAGAAAACUCAACAUGAUAAGCCUUACAAGCAUACCCACUGGAACGUUACAUUGGGGCAGCUCCAGAAUAGAAACAGCAGUACGUAUAAUUGCAAGUAACUAUUUCUUGGACCAAUUUACAAGUAAUCUUACCAUAUUUAUUGACAGCAGUGUCUAUGCUUAGAAAAAACAGCAUUUAGAGAAGCUAGAGCAUGGCAGGGACCGGAUAAUAAUUGUUUGGCUUAGCCUUACCUCUGAAAGGACUUCAGUUGGAAGCUCAACAGUGAUCAAAAUAUAUGACACUACAGCACAAACAAUUUGACUUGUAAACUUUACAAUCUGUACAAUGGUUAUUACCACUCAGAUAAUUGGUAUCUGGUAAGUAUUAGGAACAACUAAGAGCCAUGCCCUCCAUCAAGUUCGGAUACAAACAACUUAAAGAUGUAACAGUGUGGACAAUUAAGACCUGUUAAUGUUUAAUACCCAAGCAGAACAGGAAAUAGCAUGUGCACGGCUUGGAAUGUUUACAUACAAUGCUAACCCAAAUUUGUCACGGUAAAAAUAGGGCAUGAAUAGUACCCAAAUGUGACAUCGGUCAGUACUGUUGCACCUGCACCUAUCUGCAUACAGACAGUAUCUAUAUUAGCAGCACGUAAGCUUAAUCAAGGAUUCAAUAGCGUUUCAGGUGCAGGAAGGAAAAUUUUCAAGGCAGAUGGAACAAAAUAAAACGGCCACAGAAGGUAGUGAUAAUACUAGUAACAUAGAGCUGCAGUCCCAAGCAAUUAAAUAAGCUCAACAGUCAACAAGCUCACAAUAGGCCUAUGGCUCGGUACAUCCGUACGUGCACUGAUUAUCGAAUGUGAUGCAUUAACUAAUAAUUAAGUGUUGCUUUGGCACAUUCCUCACAAGGGUGGAAUCUGAAUAUCAUAAUUUGUUAGGAAAACACAUAACAUAAUUUACAAGGAAAAGUGUACAGUCGAAACCUGAUCAUUUGAAUGCAGCAUCCUCAGAACCUCCCUCCUUUUCUCAUUCACUGUUUGUUCAUACUUCAUACUAGCUUGCCCUCUCACUCGUAUAAUCUUUUUUCCUAGCUUGCUCCAGGAAUCGAAGUGGAAAUAUCAUGAUUAUCAACAUCACCAUUAAGAAAUUCAUGGAUUCACCAGCUUUUCUCAAGUUUUCUCUGAGUAAACCUGAAACCAAUGAGCUGAUAUAGCUGCUGCAAACUAAGAGUAACAGACAAAAGUAAUAAAGUGACAAGAUGUAAGAAAACUAAAAGUAAAGUUUUCUCCCAAAAACAAAGAAAAUCACUGAAGUGUUACGGUAAUAUGGAAGCAUUGAAGUUCCCGCAAAAUAUAUGGUAAGUACGGUCCACCAGAAAAAAACUCAUUUGGAAGUUAAGGGGAGGUUUGGUUCAUUAGAACCUUCUAAAAUUCCUGUCACAUCAAAUCAAAUGUUUAGAUACUAAUUAGGAGUAUUAAACAUAGACUAAUUACAAAACUAAUUGCACAGAUGGAGGCUAAUUUGUGAGAUGAAUCUAUUAAGCCUAAUUAGUUCAUGAUUUGACAAUGUGAUGCUACAAUAAACAUGUGCUAAUGAUGGAUUAAUUAGGCUUAAUAGAUUCAUCUUGCGAAUUAGCCUCCGUUUGUGCAAUUAAUUUUAUAAUUAGCUCAUAUUUAAUCCUCCUAAUGAGCCUCCGAAUAUUUGAUGUGACAUAAAUUUUAGUUCGGACUAAUGAUCCAAACACCCCUUGACUCCAUAUUAUAGUUAAGAAACAAGCAGCUCAAGCAACAGAAAAGCAAGCAGCUAACAGGAUGUGAACAAGGUCAACUGUAUGCGACUGACACAGGGGCAAUGAAUUGAAUUUCAAGAUGAUCUAAUAUAUGAAACUACGAACUGUAAUCUGGAGUUAACUACGAACUACGAGGAAACUAUGAGGAAACUACGAACUGCUGAACCAAAUGUCUGAUCUGAAACUGUACCGUGCGAAUUGUAGAAAUUCUAAAAAAUCGGAUGAGACUCUAGUUAUGCUAAUUUGUACCACAUUUUACAGAUACACACCCAACGAAGAUAUGUGUAUAGUCGUAUUGUGUGUCAGUGUAUGAUACUUGUGUGCGCAGUAAAUAUUCAGAAAAGUACGGGAGUUGAGUAGGAGGCAGCGUACUGGGUGUAGAAGCUCCAGACGGCCGGGGCGUGUGCGACGAGGUAGCCGGCGAGCGUGAUGGUGUGGUACCCGAGGAGACAGCUCAGGUGGAGGCACUGCAAGCAGGGGACCCACAGGUUGGUCGCGCGAAGAGGCGCUGCGGCCCUCCGCACCUGGGCUCCCCCAGCGGCCGGAGGUGGAGAAGAUAAAGAGGAAGAGCAUAGGCGGAGCAAAAGGAUUUGCCGAUCCACUUGACCACCGGCUGCGGUUCUCCGGCGAGUCCAUGUCGCCGCCGCCGCCGGCGGCAGCGGAGAGAGCGAGGAAACCAGGCGAAAAUGAGGGACUAGUUCGAAAGGAAAUGUAUCAUUUAGGGGGGUACGUAUAAAUAAUUGGAUAGCGGAGAAUAAUCGCGAUCCAAAUAAAGGGGGUAUUUUGUAAAUAUUUGGAUCGCGGAGAAUAAUCGCAUUCCGAUCUAGGGGGUUUUGUGUAAAUAAUCGGAUCGCGGAGAAUAAUCGCGAUCCGAUUUACGGGGUUUUAUGUACAAAAUUGGAUCGCUGUGAAUAACUACGAUCCAGUUGAGGGGACUAAUUUAGAAAGCUUCGGCUUCUUUGUCUCGCGACCUUCCCCGCUCCGCCUCCGAUCGCCGGCGGCCGCCGCCCGACGUCGACGGCACGCCCGAAGGAGCCGACGUCACUGUUCCUGAUGGAGGACCCUUUGGAGGAGAAUCCGUUUCAGGUAAUCACCUGUUCCGCCGGAGGACGCCAUCACGCCAUCGUCGACAGGAGCAAAGCCCCCGAGGUCGCCACCGCCCACCGCCAUCGAGAAGUAUGCAUCAUUCAGCACCUCGGCACUCUCGCGCCGCCCACCCUCUUACGCCGCCGGUGGCUCUCCCACGUUCUCCGAAUUCAUGGAGGAUAGGACCCGCGACAGAUUUCGUCUCCGCCCCCAUUCCAAAGAAGCAGGGGUACCUGCUGGAUAAAUUCGCAUAUGUUUUGAGGAUUCAGUCCAUCGAUUGCAAGGAUGAAGUAAGCCGACAGAUGUGGAUUUCAUUGAGAAGCUUCAGGCGAUGAAAGGUCCAGAAAUGGGUAAAAUCCCACCUGAAGAAGUUGGUAAAAAGAGCACAAUUUCACCAAAGCUAGAACUCUUGUGGUGUGCUGUGUGCAAUUCCAAGGCUACAGUAUAUAGACAGACCACGAUCUCGGUAGAUGUCGCAACUGUUUAGCCUCGAAAGACAGGCUAGUUUACAAGGCAAUUUUUUUUGUCUUGGAGAAUCUACAUCGCUAUCAACUCAAUUUCUUUUGCAAUAACCUGUUUGUCAUCUUACAUUUAUACUCUUCGCAUGCUCCCCCACAUGCCUGAACAUAUGCUGAAGCUAUCUCGAGAUAUCUGGCAAUAUGUUCUUCGGAUUUCUCCAGCAAUGCAGGGAUCGUGAGAGUAAUAACAGCACCUGAAAGAACACGGGUUCAACAAGGUCAGAAGUUCGGCUUUGAUGAGCAAGAUUAAUACAUCAAGUGUUUUCCCAUUCUAUAGGAUAUCCAUGCUUCCCAUUCUAUUCACAUUAGGUCGAGCGUAUCGGAUAUUGUCCCUAUGAACGAAGUAGACGAGAGUCAUCCUCUGUCAUGUUCAGUCAUCCUCUGUCAUGUUCUUGUGUAUACACUAGAAACCUCUUUCACUUGGACUCCAUUCAGCAGAACUAGUGUAGAACUUCAGUCGCUAUUUGCAAAUGUCAUAGUCCUAUGUACACAGUUAGAUCUGUUUGCAAAUUGAACAACUGCCACCAGCUAAAAGGAUUAUGUACUGGCCAAACAUGUACGAACUCGUUUCUACUUUCGACUAAACUAGUGCCAUAUGCAGCUAUUCUAUCUAAAAAUAGAAGUGAUAGUUUGAGCAUUGGCUCUGUUUCCAUGACUGUGUCAUGUAUCCCUGCCAUUAAUUACCCGCACACAGUUCGCCGUGCAAUUAUCAGUGAUUUGAUGAUAAACAUAGUUUACAACAUUUUCACAUUACAAUUCAAUUUGGGGUUCUUGUAAAGAUGCUCAGUGGUACUUAUAUCUUUAAAAUGUAAAUCGGUAAGGGAACUUACUUGCAUACACCAAAGUGAUAAGAUCAGUCAAUCGGCCAACUAUGGAAGUCAGCAGCAAAACAAAAGCCACCUUGUAGAAGAGGCUCGAGUCCUUCCCAAGUGCAAUGUUUCCAAAAUCCUGGAGCACCUUAUUCACGAAGUUACCCACUAUUUCUGCUGCUUCACUUGUUGACUUAUCAGAAAUUUCCAUCAACGGAACAGGAGGAAGUGCCCUGCAUGGAUUUCUUUUGCUUAGAGUCGGCACAUACAUUAACUACAGAACUAUUACCUAAUACCAAAAGUUAUUAUGCAGAUGAAUCGUUUCAUUAUUGGUCUGUUCCUUAUAUACUUUGAUUACAAGGGUCAUGCUAUUGCACGGUAAUGUAAAUUUUACUCACUCAAAAUGUAACUAAACAGUUCUACUUCUAGGUUUCUAGCACAUAGACAUCUGCAAAUGGCAUGCCCUUCUAUACCCCAGGAGGCCAGGACUAGACUCAAUCACCACUGCAGCAAUUUAGUAUCCAUAUCCAAAAUGCUAAAGCUGUCCAACCAGGGUCCAGGUCCAAGUCCAAGGCCAAUUAAAUUUCAUUAGCUUUAGCACACCACCAAGGCACCAAGUGACCAAGAGCAACAACCCCCUUGGUGCUUCAACAAUCUUUACCUGUUUGCAGUCAAUCCAAAUCUUGUGAAUGCUAUCUAGUAGUACAAAGUGAAAUUUAACAAUCUAUUUGUGGAGUACAAGUAAAUAGCAUCCACAAUAAUUGAAUCAACCACAGUAAUGCAUCAAUAGGUAUGAGGUGGAACGAGCAUCACCUGUUGAGCAGCUGUGCAGCCUUGGCCCAGACGAAGAGGACGGUGAGCAGGAUCAUGAGCACCUGGGACACGAAGGAGAGCAGCGUGUAGCCGGGCACGCAGUAGAAGAGCGCCCAUGACGCCACCACCGCGGCCAGCAACCCGCCGGCCACCUCCGUCCUCCUCCACAACACCACAUCCGCCACUGCACCCACAGGAAAAUUUCCAACGCCAAACGCUCUCAGUCUCAGGUCCCAGACGCGAAAUGCAACACAACAAUCAGAACGACCAACACGAUCUGCACUCCAGACCAUAGAAAAACACGAUCUGCCUGUAAAAACCUAGAGCGCAGCAAUUAAAUUGCAGAGCUCACCGGUGCCGCCGCCGAGGAGGUCGUGCAGCGAUCUCUGGGCGCCGAACAGCCGGCAGCUUCGGCCAGGGCAGUCCAUCGCAGCACGGAUCUCUCCCCCGACGGGAAAAGGGGAGGGGAGGACAGGACAGGCAAGAACUGCGAUGGAGUUGAUGAGCGGCAGCUACUGACUGAUCUCGUCUAGUCCAACUUCUCGAGCUGGAUUUCGGAAAAUUGCGAGGGGAGAAAAAUGGGUGGAAAGAAAAGGCGCAAGCGUGGCGAGGGACACCACACCAGAAGACACCCGUGGCAUCACCCCGUCAGCAACGCCGCCGUAUCUGGACCCCAAAGAAAAGAUGGAGAAAACUAGUAGAAAACGAUGGUGUCGUAUCCUUAGAUUUCGAGCAGAUGACAGCGGGCGGGCGGUGCAUCGAGGUGCCGCCAACCACCCGCCCCCACGCCUUUCGGCAGCUAGGCUGCGGUUUGGCAGCCUACAGAUGCCACAAAGCCAACGCUCGGUGAAAAAAAAAAACGCUCGCCUCGUCUUCGACCAUCAGGCAGAAGCAGCCAUAGCUUCCGAGAGAACAGAUAAAAAAACGAUGCAAGCUUAAGGUGUGGUUCAUCGUGACAAGUGAAUCAACAGCCUCGCCUGUUUCAAAUGAAAGAAAUAAGACUCUGCAGGAAACAAGAGUAACACCUGCACAAACACAUUCUUGAGUCGGUAAUUUCUGACUGCAACAAACAAAGCACACAAAUAACAACGGAAAUACGAGCAUUCAGGAUCAGAGUUGCAGCAGCUGCACGAGUUCCAGCAUAAGUUCACAUGAUAAAUGACGGAAAAAACAGGUUCAAAACCGCCACUUAGGUCUCUAUGCAGAUUCCACAUAACCGUUGCACCAGUUAAGUUUUUAAACCCAUGCAGUUCAGACUAUGCAAUUUGUAUACAACAUUCAGAAAUCAGAAAAACUUCUCCACUGGAAUGGAGGGCAGUUUAGACGCCUCCCUCUCUCUUGCUUUCUGUUUGUAUGCUCUAACUCAGUUACAGACUAACUGAAAAAUCUUCAUAGGGAGGCGUCCUCUCUAGUCUAACUCAUUCUAUUCUUCUUUUGGUGAUUCUUUAACCUCUAUAGAAGAAACCUCCCCUUUUGUGUCACUUCCUGAAGCUGGCUCCUGGGUGUCCUCACAGGGAGGAGCACUUGGUUCAGACUUAUCAACUUCUUCCUGGUUAUUAUCUUUGCUCGAAGAUGCUUCAAUAACAGGAGCAUCCUGCUGCUUGCUGUAUUCUUGAGCUGCAUCAUAGCUGGGAAAUGGACCCCCAGCAUCCAUCAAGCUAGCGGCUAUUGCAGCAUUCAGAUCAGCCUCUUCCUGCUGCGCUGCAAUCAUGUCCAUUUCACUCAUCCCUCCAGAUUGCUGGCCAAGUAAAGGGGAUUGCACCUGGUGAGUAGGUGGUGUCUGCACCUGGUUGCAGGAGGCUGUUAUCUUCUGGGCAUCAUCAGGGGUAAGCCACUGACCGAACCCAUUAGAACCUUCAGUUGCCAUAGGGCACUCCUUGGGGAAAUUGCCUCUAACUGCAAAGAUACUCCAGCCUGACCCCUUCAGGGUGUCAAUGAAAGCUGAGAGGUAGAACUUUGACAGGUGCUCAGGAGCUGGGUAAAGACUGUUAAAGUUGUACCACUCCCCAUUCACCUUCCUGAUGCAGAACCAGUGGUCCUGAAGGUGGCAAAUGAAAGCAACCUCCUGCUCAGGGUCAAAUAGGGAUGACCCUGCAGCUGGGGAAUCAAGGGGAAUAACUUGGAGGUCCCAAACCUCCAGGGCCUUCUGCAAAACCUAUUAGAAGAAAGCAUAAGGUCAGAAUAUGGUCAUGAGUGCGCAUUGCUAAAACAAGAACAGACCUAAAACUUGUAUUUUUCUAUUAACAUAAAGUUACAGUGCUAGAAUAAAGAAUAGCUAUAUAUUAAUCUAAUAAUCAGGCCACCGGUAUCAUGUCUGGCUACAUUAUAUUUAAUUGAACAAAUGAACAAUACACAUGGAAACAAAUAGAAGCAAUAGACUGCAUAACAGCAUUCCAGGUUCAUUGCAAGAAAAACAAUUGUUCAUAACAAAUGCGGUAUAAAGGCUGAGAAUAAACAAAGUGAAGAAUCACAAAUUCCAAUACUUAAACACAUAACUUGUGCCAUCUGUCCAAAUUCGGAUCUAGUGUGAACUCUCAAGUACCAUACAGGAACAUAGCGUGCAAUGGUAAACUAUUGUAGUUUAUCGGCCAAAGAUAAACUACAACUAUAAUGCAAAGAUGAAUAUAGUGUGCAGUGGAAGGGGAAAAGGCUAAUUGCUGCAUAUGUUAGGUGACCCUUCUCCAAUACAUCCUGAAGGAGAAAAGCUCAAAUAAUUGUAAUACCUCCAUAUUGUGAAGUAAUACCAGAACAGCACUGAAGCAUAUACACAGCAAACUACUGUCGUCAUAAAAAAAUGAUAAAUCAUGCACACAAAAUAAACGCGUAAAACAUCCGAAUAUCAGCAACAUGCAAAACAAAGGUCUGUUCACUAUUUGCUUAAAUUUCAGGAUUCAUCGUAUCCUGAGUGACAGGUAUGCGGUUUAUCUAGGGAACCAUCCUUUUCCCCUUCCAUGAUUAUUUGUUUCUAAUUGCAGUCACAGCAUAGCUCUUGCAGAGUAGGAUCGUAGCGAAGGCACUGGCCAUCAAAAGGUUAAUCAGCUUGUGCUAUUGGCUCAGCGAAAGCCUAAACCAACCUAUUCGACAAGUGCAAGCGUUACUGCCUUUACUAGUCAUAUUUGGCGUACAACAUAUUUCACUCCUUCAGUGUCAUUACACAAUUUGUAAUAUAUUUACUUGAAUCACUUAUACCCAUAUUUGGAUUUACAAUAGAUUCAAACCAAAAAUAUGUACGAGAUCUCAUAUAUCCCCAUCGAACAAAAAUAAUGGAUGCCAUUGUUACAUGGACACAGGUGUGGGUGCUGUACUGCUGUCCGACUCGGGUGCGGCUGUUGGUGUCAAACUCGGGUGAAAGUGUCAAAUUUGGCAAUUUUUGGGGGUGGGGUGGGGUGGGGGGGGGGGGCAUGCCAAAUACCCCUUGGAAUCUGACACGGGUGAGUGAUAUCCAACUCAGUGUGUCCGGAUAACAAUGAUGGCUGUACAAUCAUCUGGAAUUUAAUGACUUGUCACUAGUGAAACUCUUCAAAGUGCAUACGUCCAUCAAGUUUUCUUUCCAGAAUUGUUCGUAGAUCAGAUUAAAUUUAGAAGUAGCAUUUAAAACCUCAACGCUGCUAACCUUAAUACCGUUAUCAACUCCCUCGUAUUCCUAAUUAAAAAUUCAAUGACAAAACAUCGAAUACCUGAAUUAAAGAACAAUCACCGUCAAAGGUAAUAAAACUGGAGCUAUUCUUAGCGUCAGCAAUUCAGUACACGACAAAAGUCAAGCUACGGAAAAACUCUUGAAUAUGUACACCAAUCACAUAAAUUUGGACAGUAUAACGGAAGUAGAAGACGUUACUAUAGCAUGCAUGCACAUGCAUUCGUGAAGGCCGAGUACGUAAAAUAAAAUGGCACCAACUGUCGUGAAGACUUUUGCUAUCGCUGAUACAAGAUCAUGUUACUUCUUUGUUCCUAGUUGAUUAUUCAAAUGCAACGUGUGAUCUGUAACUUGCAAGAAAUGACUACAUCUAAACUUUUGUAGCAAUCCAAAACAAGUACAAUCCUAUAUCAAAUCGCCUGCAGGGAAUCAUGCAAAUCUCAGCGCGGUUCUAUGCUAGUUGAAGACAUAAGUACUGAUGGUCCCUCUGCACCCCCUUCUGCAUCCAUCAAAGCUCAAAUCAUGAUCAUAAACCCAAAGGCAUAACUAAGUAUCUUCACGGCUGGAAUAGGAUCAUAUCAUACAUGUUCAAGGAGAAAGUCUAUACAAUUCUGAGCAGACCUUACAUGGCACUACCACUAGCAACAACCCGAUUCAACAACAAGCAUUCCUUCAAAUAACUGGGAUGAUGCAUUGCCUAGACAAUUUUAUUUUCGUCCUAAACUAAACCCUGCUAAUCUCUCUACUUCAAGUAAUUCUCUUCCUUGUUAACAAAUCCAUCUUACUAAAGUAUAUAUCGGCACUUUUAACCUAGAAUCAUUUACUGGAAAGCAAUCCACGGGUUCCAAACAGCAAUGCCCAAGAAAAAAUCCCCUAAACUCUAAGCAGCUAUCUUAGCACACAAACAAACAAGUUGUGGCCGAGCCCACGGAACAAGCUGCGAUCUACGCAUCAGUCGAACUAACCGAGCCCACGAGAGACAAACGGAUUAAAUCUCAAAGAAUCGUGGAGGGCCUCGACUAACCUGGAUGCUGAAAUCGCCUCCGAGGGAGACGUUGUGGGAUCCCUCGGCGAGGAAGUCCCCCGCGGCAGCGUUGGCGACGCCGGGGCUCUGGGAGCCCUCGAGCAUGACCAGGCGCUCCCGCUGGUCGAGGUCGGCGGCGAGGGCGGCGAGGUCGAACUCGGAGAAGAAGGGCCCCUGCAGGGCGGUGUUGACGCAGUGCACGGCGCAGAGCUUCCCCUCCUGCACCUCGUGGUACAGCAGCCCGCCGUUGCUCGCAGCCUCCAUCACGCCGCUCCACAAGCCUCCUCCGGCGCGGCGAUUGUCGCCUCGCCACCUCAAGUAUCGCAGAUUCGGAAUCGGGGUCGAGGAGGAGGAGAAAAACGAAACUGCCGGGACGGGGGAAAGGAGAGGGAGGAACGCGAGGAGAGUUGAGUGCUUUCGGCGUGGGUCGGCUCGGGCUCGGUGGUAACGCAGGUUCCCCUGCUGAAAACCAUAGACAGCCGCGACACGUAGGCGCGACCUGGAAAGGCCGCGCCCGGCAACCACGUGGAUUUUCUAAUUAUUCGAUUGCGACUAUCGACUUGCCGGCUUGCCGCUUUGCGGUACAGUUUGAGCGGAAUAAAUAUAUAAUCACGCCGCUAAUACUUUAAGAAUUUCAUUUUAGUUUGCUCGUUGUUGAAUCUGUAUCUCGUAUAUACAUAUAAGAAAUUUAUUUUUGGUCAUUGUUGAAUUUGUACGUGGGAGAGGCCAUGCCUUAAGAAUAGAUAAAUUGAGAAGCUUAUAGAUGAUAAAGGAUGUGUAUCCAUGCUCCGAAAUUGAGAAGGUUAUAAAGAAUUUUGUUUUUGGUCAUUGUUUUUAUGAGUGUGUGCGCUCCAAUUGGGGUGAAUUUGGGUCCGUCGUCCCUACAUGAUAGGAUGUGUAUCCAUAUGCUUCGAAAUAUUUAUCAUUAUUUUUUAUUGCAAUGUUUGACUAUUUAUUUUAUUCGAAAAAAAUUAAGUAGGUACUCCUUUGUCACAUUAGAUUUCUCCUAAGUCAAAUAUGUCCAACUUUGACUAAGUUUAUUGAAAAAUACAACAACAAUUAUAAUACCAAACAUAUGCACUAUCAGAAUAUAUUCCAUUGUGGAUUUAAUGAAAUAAGUUUGGUAUUGUAGAUGUUGUUGGAUUUUUCAUCAAAGUGGCACAAGUUUGACUUAGGAUAAAUCUAAUGUGACCAGGGGGAGUAUAGUUUAAUUUGUUUGUGACUUGAUCAUGAUGGAUACUUUAAGCAUAACUUAUUUUUCCAUAAUUUACAAUAAUUUUUUAACAAGAUGAAUGAUCAAAAGUUAUUGGUGCUAAUAUUUAUACGGUGGAAAUACCAUCUGCACAUUGAGAACUUCUAGUUGGCUCAAAAAAUAUUAGGCCAUUGCAUAUCCCAUUGAUGUAGAGGCUAGUUAGCUACUAUGAGAUCGAUUGAUCCUAAGAAAGUUUGAAUGGCCUUCAAAUGAUAAUACCAUAGUACAAAUUAAACUGCAAAAACAUUUUUUUCAAAUUAACAUAGUUCUAUAUGAAAUGAUGCCACAGACAGGAGUGGAUCCAGCAUGGGGCUGGGGGCCUGGAGCGCCCUACAAAUUUUAGCCAUAGAUCAAGUGGAGGAACAAGAAAAAGUACAAAUUUUAGCCAUAGAUCAAGUGGAGGAAGAAGAAAAAGAAAGAGGAAGAAGAAAAGGAGGAGGAAGAAGUAGAGAAAAGGAGGAAGGAGGAAAAGGAAGGGGAAGAUGAGUUCCUUUCACAGCCUGGAUCCAAAUUCACUCUAAAACAAAUAUUAACAUUGUAGGAAACCUUAAAAGAAUGCAUUUAAGCUAAUAGAGCUAACAUAUUAAUUUAUAGAACGUUAAAGAGUUUAGCAAGUCUAUCAAGUAUGUUCACUGAACUAAAAUCCUAGUGGUAACGGGGACUUCAGGCUUAGAGCUAGCUGACACAUGGUAUGGAGAUUGGGGAAACAAAACAUUAGGUGUUUUUAACAAUUGUUGCUUAUCUAAAAGGAUUAUAGCCAAGAUUUAGAAAGAAAAAAAAAAGAGAAACGAUUGCUUGCUUCCUGUCCAGCAACUGGCUCCUGAUACUUUCAAGAACGUAUCUGAUCUAGGAAUUUGAAGUGCUGGCCUUAACUAGGAUAUUAGUAUGUGAUACACAAGCAACAAGAUGUAAACACAUGUCGACCAAGAUUUUCAAAACCAGACAUACUUGCAUCAAAGUAAAGUGUGUGGAACACAAGUACAGAAUUUGGGAUCCCAUGAUGCAGCCAUGCAGGGCACUCCAGAUCAGGCAUGAAGCAAAUGGCAGCAUACACUUGUAACAAAACAAGAAACUAAUUAACAUGUUGGACUCCGAGUGUGAGGGCAAUUAAAUCAUGUGUUUUACCUACUUUUGCUUUCUUAGAAUGUUCUGAAUGAAUAAGCAUGUAUACAGCAUGUGGCUACCCCUAUGGUACUACAUUUCCGCGCUGCAAAAAGGGAAGCUAUACCCUAAUUGUACAAUUGUGGCGUUCGUGUAAGAACAUGUAGCAUAUCUUCCUUCUCCAACCAAGUAAAUAUCUUGUACCAGUAUUCCAUCACAACGGACAGCUCCACUGCAAAUAAAACUGACGGCAACUUUUGAAGCACUUGUUCCAUGGAUGUUUCUAUAGCGUAUAUCACGUACGGCAACAGCUGACUCCUACAAGGUACAAAGAAGGGAACGUCCCAUGAUUGCUGGUUUAAUUUUCUAAAGGUCUUGUAUGAAGCAGCAAAGGAAUUUGGAUCAUCAUAGAGGACAGUACCUGCUCAUCACAUCGUUUCUUAGAGUCACAGUAAUUCUGAUCGAUAAUUAUAGGGUUAGUAACAUUAUUCAUUGAUAUAUCUUGAAAAGUUAUCCUCUCAGCAUAGCCAUGUCCUCCCUGGUAAUUAAACCGUAAGAAACAUCAUCAAAAUAAAAAAAUAUGUAGCACAACUAAACAAAUAAUUACUUUACUUUGUAAAUAUAUGAAGAUGGCCUACUUUAUUAUUCUAGUAAAAUAUAUUAUCCUCUACCAUAAUACAAUAUUUUUUAAUUGAAAUACACACACAUGCAUAAUGUUCUUUUAGGACUAUAUGCAUAUUACUUAGUACUAUUAAGAACAACCAUUUCUUCAAAAUAUAUCAAUAUAUUUAAAGUCAGAGCUUCGAGACAACUUUCGCAGAUGUUCAAUCUUGCGAGGCGUAUGAGCAAGAUUUUGAGUACUCUCCCGACCUGUUAGAGGCCACCCUAAUAAGCAGAGAUUGCCGGGAAAACGUUGCUCAACAAGAAGAUCUCAGUAACCAACUCGAAAAAGGAUACCCUCGAUAACAAAACAACCAAUCAUAACCUAGCGAUAAAAUGCCAGCACGGGAAACACCUACCUCCUAUCUAGUUACUACUUUCGAGUUAAGAGCGGGAAAACGGUUUUCAUGGCCUAUAGUCCCCUGCCGCCGAAGCACGAACUACUUUAAAUCGCGGAUCGGCAGCUUCCUGCGACAUUCCUUCAAUGCAAAUGUGGUAUUUUUAUACCCUUUGAUAGAUAGCAAGCAGCUCCUAUAACUUGAUCGACAGGACCCAACCAACUAAACUAUUGAUUUUGGCAAAGCUAGACCUUUUGAGGAAAGCAGAUGCAGAUAACGAAAGGAAGCUAUUAGUUUUUCUUAUACUCGACUCAGGGCUAAAAUCUGUCAAAUUUUAUAAUAUUGUGGAUAUUAUUCAGCAAUGUUGCAAGUGUUUUAUCCUCCCAUGUUUCAUAUGACUGGAACAUUUAAGUAUUAUGCAACAUGCGAGAAUAAUGUUUGGAACGCCAUAAAAUAGCAUCUG
Molecule: long non-coding RNA, 36859 nt
Filed under: Setaria viridis
Lineage: Eukaryota; Viridiplantae; Streptophyta; Magnoliopsida; Poales; Poaceae
Description: long non-coding RNA (SVIR_LNC006142)
Rfam family: MIR1435 microRNA precursor family (bases 34042-34231)
Source: RNAcentral